UACCAGCACCCCGAGUGGUCGGGACGAUUAUUGGGCCUAAAGCAUCCGUAGCCGGUUUUACAAGUCCCCCGUUAAAUCCAGCUGCUUAACAGAUGGGCUGCGGAGGAUACUAUAGGACUAGGAGGCAGGAGAGGCAAGCGGUACUCAGUGGGUAGGGGUAAAAUCCGUUGAUCCAUUGAAGACCACCAGUGGCGAAGGCGGCUUGCCAGAAUGCGCUCGACGGUGAGGGAUGAAAGCUGGGGGAGCAAACCGG
This 253-nucleotide ribosomal RNA is filed under the name uncultured bacterium. Its description in RNAcentral is "partial 16S ribosomal RNA". It matches the Rfam family "Archaeal small subunit ribosomal RNA", at positions 474 to 727 of the family's 1478-position model. The record is from RNAcentral.